GACGAACGCUGGCGGCGUGCCUAAUACAUGCAAGUAGAACGCUGAAGGAGGGGCUUGCUUCUCUGGAUGAGUUGCGAACGGGUGAGUAACGCGUAGGUAACCUGCCUGGUAGCGGGGGAUAACUAUUGGAAACGAUAGCUAAUACCGCAUAAUAGCAGUUGUUGCAUGACAACUGUUUGGAAGGUGCAAUUGCACCACUACCAGAUGGACCUGCGUUGUAUUAGCUAGUUGGUGGGGUAACGGCUCACCAAGGCGACGAUACAUAGCCGACCUGAGAGGGGGAUCGGCCACACUGGGACUGGGACACGGCCCAGACUCCUACGGGAGGCAGCAGUAGGGAAUCUUCGGCAAUGGACGGAAGUCUGACCGAGCAACGCCGCGUGAGUGGAGAAGGUUUUCGGAUCGUAAAGCUCUGUUGUAAGAGAAGAACGAGUGUGAGAGCGGAAAGUUCACACUGUGACGGUAUCUUACCAGAAAGGGACGGCUAACUACGUG
Molecule: ribosomal RNA, 495 nt
Filed under: uncultured bacterium
Lineage: Bacteria
Description: partial 16S ribosomal RNA
Rfam family: Bacterial small subunit ribosomal RNA
Source: RNAcentral